This 498-nucleotide ribosomal RNA is filed under the name uncultured bacterium. RNAcentral describes it as "partial 16S ribosomal RNA". It matches the Rfam family "Bacterial small subunit ribosomal RNA", at positions 28 to 507 of the family's 1533-position model. The record is from RNAcentral.
GACGAACGCUGGCGGCGUGCCUAAUACAUGCAAGUCGAGCGAAGUUUUUCUGGUGCUUGCACCGGAAAAACUUAGCGGCGAACGGGUGAGUAACACGUAAAGAACCUGCCUCAUAGACUGGGACAACUAUUGGAAACGAUAGCUAAUACCGGAUAAUGCAUUAACUGAAUGGUUGAAGGUUAAAAGUUGGUUUUGCUUAAACUAUGGGUUGGCCUUGCGGUGCAUUAGCUAGUUGGUGGGGUAAAGGCCUACCAAGGCGACGAUGCAUAGCCGACCUGAGAGGGUGAUCGGCCACACUGGGACUGAGACACGGCCCAGACUCCUACGGGAGGCAGCAGUAGGGAAUCUUCCGCAAUGGGCGAAAGCCUGACGGAGCAACGCCGCGUGAGUGAAGAAGGAUUUCGGUUCGUAAAGCUCUGUUGUUAGGGAAGAAUGAUUGUGUAGUAACUAUACACAGUAGAGACGGUACCUAACCAGAAAGCCACGGCUAACUACGUG